This 608-nucleotide ribosomal RNA is filed under the name uncultured Roseateles sp. RNAcentral's name for it is "bacterial SSU rRNA". It matches the Rfam family "Bacterial small subunit ribosomal RNA", at positions 153 to 756 of the family's 1533-position model. The record is from RNAcentral. Lineage: Bacteria; Pseudomonadati; Pseudomonadota; Betaproteobacteria; Burkholderiales; Sphaerotilaceae.
GAAAGAGCAGCUAAUACCGCAUACGACCUGAGGGUGAAAGCGGGGGAUCGCAAGACCUCGCGCGAUUGGAGCGGCCGAUAUCAGAUUAGGUAGUUGGUGAGGUAAAGGCUCACCAAGCCGACGAUCUGUAGCUGGUCUGAGAGGACGACCAGCCACACUGGGACUGAGACACGGCCCAGACUCCUACGGGAGGCAGCAGUGGGGAAUUUUGGACAAUGGGCGCAAGCCUGAUCCAGCCAUGCCGCGUGCGGGAAGAAGGCCUUCGGGUUGUAAACCGCUUUUGUCAGGGAAGAAAAGGUUCUGGCUAAUACCUGGGACUCAUGACGGUACCUGAAGAAUAAGCACCGGCUAACUACGUGCCAGCAGCCGCGGUAAUACGUAGGGUGCAAGCGUUAAUCGGAAUUACUGGGCGUAAAGCGUGCGCAGGCGGUUAUGCAAGACAGAGGUGAAAUCCCCGGGCUCAACCUGGGAACUGCCUUUGUGACUGCAUGGCUAGAGUACGGUAGAGGGGGAUGGAAUUCCGCGUGUAGCAGUGAAAUGCGUAGAUAUGCGGAGGAACACCGAUGGCGAAGGCAAUCCCCUGGACCUGUACUGACGCUCAUGCACGA